Molecule: ribosomal RNA, 253 nt
Filed under: uncultured bacterium
Lineage: Bacteria
Description: partial 16S ribosomal RNA
Rfam family: Bacterial small subunit ribosomal RNA
Source: RNAcentral
UACGAAGGGGGCAAGCGUUGUUCGGAUUUACUGGGCGUAAAGCGUACGUAGGCGGAUAAUUAAGUCAGGGGUGAAAGCCCGGAGCUCAACUCCGGAACUGCCUUUAAGACUGCAUCGCUUGAAUCCAGGAGAGGUGAGUGGAAUUCCGAGUGUAGAGGUGAAAUUCGUAGAUAUUCGGAAGAACACCAGUGGCGAAGGCGGCUCACUGGACUGGUAUUGACGCUGAGGUGCGAAAGCGUGGGGAGCAAACAGG